GACAAACUGAAGAGGCUGAUUCCAGACACUGAAGCUUUUUUUCUCAGUGAUAGUGUGAGCUUAUAAGUCUACUGUUUUAAUGUAAAGAAUACUCUCCAUUCUGGAAAAAAAAGAAGAUAACAGGACAAGCAGCAUGUAAAGCUAAAGUCACCAAAACUCUGCAAAGUCUGUGAUUAUUAACUGGAAAAAGACAAGAGGUGCCUACAAGGGCACUAUGUUACAGACAGUAAUAACCUGAAAAGGAAAUGCAAGGAGGGGAACAGAUGGCUUCAGAAAUUCCCCUGUACCAGAGUCAACAAGUUGUGAAUAGUACUGUGAUCUUACUAAGAAUUACUUCUCUGCUUAGAGGCACUCAGCUCAAUGUGACAGCUGAUGUGUUUGAAAUCAAGCAGGUGGACAAGUGGUAAACUCUUAUACCAGGACACAAUGCUGAAACCCAGGAGAAUGCAGAACCAGCAAAUUCUAAAAUUAAAUAAGGAAAUGUAAACUAAUUGAAAAAUAAGAAUUUCUGAGAAGUACAGCUGAUGAAAUAGGACUGUAAAACUAAGGAGUUUAUAAAAAGACUACACAUACUUCUUCAGAUAUGACUUGAAGGUUGCAUAAAAAGCUGAGCAUGCAAAGGUUUGGCCACUUCCGGGGAUAUUUAGCUGAAGAAACUGGUAAGAUCUAGAACUAUGGGGGGGCAAAAACAAAGGAAUUCAACUGUGUCAAGAUGAUCAAAACAAGACAAAUGGCUGCGUCUUUAAAAACUUGAAAAAGUUUUAAAAGUAUUGUAAAUCCUCAGAUUUUUUGCACAUUAAAGAACACUUGAUUUUGAAAGGGGUUGUGUAUGUAGUACAUGGGGUCAAACUCAGGAUUAUUGUUUGUAAAGUAGCACUAGUUAGUGUGAGUGACCGUGACACAACCCAGACCAGCAGGGAAUCUGAAUUGCUUAUUCACAUGAAAUGGUUUUAUACAC
Passer domesticus (house sparrow) is the source of this 958-nucleotide long non-coding RNA. RefSeq lists it as uncharacterized. The transcript is spliced from 6 exons. The record is from RefSeq and is a predicted model, not a curated record. NCBI's taxonomy places the organism in Eukaryota, Metazoa, Chordata, Aves, Passeriformes, Passeridae.